This is a non-coding RNA of Manis javanica (Malayan pangolin), 852 nucleotides long. The record is from RefSeq and is a predicted model, not a curated record. Lineage: Eukaryota; Metazoa; Chordata; Mammalia; Pholidota; Manidae.
AAAAUUCUAUUCCCUUUAGAAGUCAAUCCAAGAAGAAAAAAGACGACCAAGGAAAGAUAGUCAGGGAAAAUUACUAGAUUUGGAAGAUUUUUAUUACAAGGAAUUUUUGCCCAGUCAUUCCAGACCAAAGGAACAUAACAUGUGUUUAAAAGAACGAAGACAACAGAGAGAACUUCAAAAUCAAUGUUUUAAGGCUGGUGAAAGGUGCUGGGCGGCGGCGAACCCAGAGGAAGAGGAGGACGAAGCGCCCGCAGCCAACCCCUACGACUACCGGAGGCUCCUGCGCAAAACCUCCCAGCGCCGGCGCCUGAUCCAGCAGCUGUAGCCCCUCUGCCCAGCGGCCACCGCCGUCCUAAUGUGCCAGAAACCGCGGGGCUUGCAGGGGCCUACGCGGGGGACCGCAGGAGCCCGCACCUCCAGGCGCUGAAGCCGCGCCUCUGACCUCGGCCGGGGCUGCGGCUGCGCCCGCCCCGCCAGUGCCCGGGCCAGCCUUCGGUGCUCCUGAUGGGGCUGCCAGUUGGACCAUCCCUCUCUCUGCGCCCCCCCUCCCCACCCCCGUGUAUCUCUUUGUUCACUUGUUUUUUUGGCUCCUGUGAGCCCGACUACGCCUGAGUUCUCGCAGACUCCUCCUGUCUCAUUUUGGAUGACUUUAAAGAAAUGUCUUCUUUCUUGGAGACAGCUCUCCCAGGCCGCGGGGACACCUGCGACUGUAUUGCGUCUGCAAGAACCUCCUCUCCCGGGUGGAGGAGAAGAAGGGAGGCAGGGGAGCUUUGAAGAUGAAAUUCACCUCAACCUCGUUCUUUCCCUUUCCUUGCUUUAUUAAGAUUAUUAAAUAAAGUGCUUUGGAAAGUC